AGAGUUUGAUCCUGGCUCAGAUUGAACGCUGGCGGCAGGCCUAACACAUGCAAGUCGAACGGUAACAGGAAGCAGCUUGCUGCUUUGCUGACGAGUGGCGGACGGGUGAGUAAUGUCUGGGAAACAGCCCGAUGGAGGGGGAUAACUACUGGAAACGGUAGCUAAUACCGCAUAACGUCGCAAGACCAAAGAGGGGGACCUUCGGGCCUCUUGCCAUCGGAUGUGCCCAGAUGGGAUUAGCUAGUUGGUGAGGUAACGGCUCACCAAGGCGACGAUCCCUAGCUGGUCUGAGAGGAUGACCAGCCACACUGGAACUGAGACACGGUCCAGACUCCUACGGGAGGCAGCAGUGGGGAAUAUUGCACAAUGGGCGCAAGCCUGAUGCAGCCAUGCCGCGUGUAUGAAGAAGGCCUUCGGGUUGUAAAGUACUUUCAGCGGGGAGGAAGGGGAUGUGGUUAAUAACCGCGUUCAUUGACGUUACCCGCAGAAGAAGCACCGGCUAACUCCGUGCCAGCAGCCGCGGUAAUAA
Molecule: ribosomal RNA, 529 nt
Filed under: uncultured bacterium
Lineage: Bacteria
Description: bacterial SSU rRNA
Rfam family: Bacterial small subunit ribosomal RNA
Source: RNAcentral